RNAcentral lists this ribosomal RNA (546 nucleotides) under uncultured Glomeromycotina. RNAcentral's name for it is "SSU rRNA". It matches the Rfam family "Eukaryotic small subunit ribosomal RNA", at positions 548 to 1098 of the family's 1831-position model. The record is from RNAcentral. Lineage: Eukaryota; Fungi; Glomeromycota.
UUGGAGGGCAAGUCUGGUGCCAGCAGCCGCGGUAAUUCCAGCUCCAAUAGCGUAUAUUAAAGUUGUUGCAGUUAAAAAGCUCGUAGUUGAAUUUCGGGAUCAGUACGUUGGUCGUGCCUUAGGUACGUACUGGUGUUACUGGUUCCUACCUUCUGACGAACCAUCAUGUCAUUAAUUUGGUGUGGCGGGGAAUCAGGACUGUUACUUUGAAAAAAUUAGAGUGUUUAAAGCAGGCUCGCGCUUGAAUACAUUAGCAUGGAAUAAUGAAAUAGGACGUUGAUCCUAUUUUGUUGGUUUCUAGGAUUGACGUAAUGAUUAAUAGGGAUAGUUGGGGGCAUUAGUAUUCAAUUGUCAGAGGUGAAAUUCUUGGAUUUAUUGAAGACUAACUACUGCGAAAGCAUUUGCCAAGGAUGUUUUCAUUAAUCAAGAACGAAAGUUAGGGGAUCGAAGACGAUCAGAUACCGUCGUAGUCUUAACCAUAAACUAUGCCGACUAGGGAUCGGAUGGUGUUAUUUUUAAUGACUCAUUCGGCGCCUUACGGGAAAC